RNAcentral lists this ribosomal RNA (497 nucleotides) under uncultured bacterium. Its description in RNAcentral is "partial 16S ribosomal RNA". It matches the Rfam family "Bacterial small subunit ribosomal RNA", at positions 28 to 507 of the family's 1533-position model. The record is from RNAcentral.
GAUGAACGCUGGCGGCGUGCCUAAUACAUGCAAGUCGAGCGAACAGACGAGGAGCUUGCUCCUCUGAUGUUAGCGGCGGACGGGUGAGUAACACGUGGAUAACCUACCUAUAAGACUGGGAUAACUUCGGGAAACCGGAGCUAAUACCGGAUAAUAUAUUGAACCGCAUGGUUCAAUAGUGAAAGACGGUUUUGCUGUCACUUAUAGAUGGAUCCGCGCCGCAUUAGCUAGUUGGUAAGGUAACGGCUUACCAAGGCGACGAUGCGUAGCCGACCUGAGAGGGUGAUCGGCAACACUGGAACUGAGACACGGUCCAGACUCCUACGGGAGGCAGCAGUAGGGAAUCUUCCGCAAUGGGCGAAAGCCUGACGGAGCAACGCCGCGUGAGUGAUGAAGGUCUUCGGAUCGUAAAACUCUGUUAUUAGGGAAGAACAAAUGUGUAAGUAACUAUGCACGUCUUGACGGUACCUAAUCAGAAAGCCACGGCUAACUACGUG